UAAUACAGGAUAUGACUCAUCACCGCAUGGUGUGUCGGGUGGAAAGAUUUAUUGGUUUUGGAUGGACUCGCGGCCUAUCAGCUUGUUGGUGAGGUAAUGGCUUACCAAGGCGACGACGGGUAGCCGGCCUGAGAGGGUGACCGGCCACACUGGGACUGAGACACGGCCCACACUCCUACGGGAGGCAGCAGUGGGGAAUAUUGCACAAUGGGCGCAAGCCUGAUGCAGCGACGCCGCGUGAGGGAUGAAGGCCUUCGGGUUGUAAACCUCUUUCAGUAGGGAAGAAGCCUUUUGGGGUGACGGUACCUGCAGAAGAAGCGCCGGCUAACUACGUGCCAGCAGCCGCGGUAAUACGUAGGGCGCAAGCGUUAUCCGGAAUUAUUGGGCGUAAAGAGCUCGUAGGCGGUUUGUCGCGUCUGCCGUGAAAGUCCGGGGCUUAACCCCGGAUCUGCGGUGGGUACGGGCAGACUAGAGUGAUGUAGGGGAGACUGGAAUUCCUGGUGUAGCGGUGAAAUGCGCAGAUAUCAGGAGGAACACCGAUGGCGAAGGCAGGUCUCUGGGCAUUAACUGACGCUGAGGAGCGAAAGCAUGGGGAGCGAACAGGAUUAGAUACCCUGGUAGUCCAUGCCGUAAACGUUGGGCACUAGGUGUGGGGGACAUUCCACGUUUUCCGCGCCGUAGCUAACGCAUUAAGUGCCCCGCCUGGGGAGUACGGCCGCAAGGCUUAAACUCAAAGGAAUUGACGGGGGCCCGCACAAGCGGCGGAGCAUGCGGAUUAAU
RNAcentral lists this ribosomal RNA (780 nucleotides) under Arthrobacter pascens. Its description in RNAcentral is "bacterial SSU rRNA". It matches the Rfam family "Bacterial small subunit ribosomal RNA", at positions 164 to 950 of the family's 1533-position model. The record is from RNAcentral. Lineage: Bacteria; Bacillati; Actinomycetota; Actinomycetes; Micrococcales; Micrococcaceae.